GUCUAAAGGAAAAUCCGUUUCCACAUAGUUAAAACUUUUUCUGCGUAAAUAGUAUACUCUGUUACAGCUCAAGGUAUAUCUGGAACCUCACAGAAAAAUGUUUUACAUCUUAACAUUUGCUUAGUAGUCUGAAUCCCAGACUUAAGUUUUCCUUUAUUGCAGAGGAAUUCACUGUGGACACGUCUUGGUAAGACAAUCCUUCAGCUAAUGCCUGAAUGAAGCGCACCAAGACACUGGUAAUUGAGCAUGGAGUUCAUCUGAAGUAACUUUCCUAUGGAAAUUGGUGUGGGCAGUCACUGGAAGAAAGAUGUGGCUUUUGAGCUCAUCUGACGCAAAGGCAGAGGAAGGUUUCAUUGUCUUUUGACCUAUGACUACAUGGAGAAAAAUAUGUCCUUGGGCGUGUGUAAAACCUUUCUACCCCGUCAGUUUUCCUCAGGCCUGCAACAGGUCCCCAGAAAACAGGAAAUGGCUUCUUUGAGAGUCGGUUUCCUGUUGUUUCCACAUGAGGACAGAGUGCUGGAAGUCAUUUAUUGCUUCUGGUCCAGGACACAGGGUGAUCGCCUGCAGCGAUGAGGAAGGAACCAACUCUGGACUAUCUAGAUUUUAAGCCCGUCUUCUUGAUGAAUACAAAGGGAACACUUGAUCUGUGUAUGCCAACAGCCUUUUAAGGAAAGGAUAAAGAGAGGUCUGAACUGGAAGCAGGAGGAUACUUUGAUCCAAGUAAGCAAGAGGAAGAAGGGCCAUGCAUUUAUGGGGCACAAAAGCAAUUCUUUUGUGAACAAGCACCUAAGAUGAGUUUAUUGCACUGUCUUACAUAGCAGCUGUACUUCUGUUCAAUGUACUGCAGAACAUGUUUUAUUCUUCAUAAUGGUUAUUAUUUUGUCUUGUUCCCAGAUGUAUCCUUGAAGAUCACUGCUAUGCUUUUUUCACGUUUUUCUAUGAACUUCAAAGAAGCAAUUAUUUUCUAGCGAUGUUGGGGACAGGAAAAUAGAGGAGUAUUUGGGCAUUUCCAGUUAUUUUCCUUUCUUUCUUUUUUUUUUUUUUCUUUUUUUCUUUUUUUUUUU
RNAcentral lists this long non-coding RNA (1064 nucleotides) under Anas platyrhynchos platyrhynchos (common mallard). RNAcentral's name for it is "lncRNA (ENSAPLG00000031015.1)". The record is from RNAcentral. Lineage: Eukaryota; Metazoa; Chordata; Aves; Anseriformes; Anatidae.